GAUGAAUGCUGGCGGCGUGCCUAACACAUGCAAGUCGAGCGGCAGCGCGGAGAGUUUACUCUCUGGCGGCGAGCGGCGGACGGCUGAGUAACGCGUGGGAACGUGCCCCAAAGUGAGGAAUAACUGCCCGAAAGGGUAGCUAAUGCCGCAUAUGAUCUUCGGAUUAAAGGAUUUAUCCGCUUUGGGAGCGGCCCGCGUUAGAUUAGGUAGUUUGUAGGGUAAUGGCCUACCAAGCCGACGAUCUAUAGCUGGUCUGAGAGGAUGAUCAGCCAGACUGGCACUCAGACACGCCCCAUGCUCCUACGGGAGGCAGCAGUGAGGAAUCUACCACAAUGGGCGAAAGCCUGAUGGAGCAACGCCGCGUGAAGGAUGAAGGCCCUCGGGUUGUAAACUUCUUUUAUAAGUGAAGAAUAUGACGGUAACUUAUGAAUAAGCACCGGCUAACUACGUGCCAGCCGCCGCGGUAA
This 467-nucleotide ribosomal RNA is filed under the name uncultured bacterium. RNAcentral describes it as "partial 16S ribosomal RNA". It matches the Rfam family "Bacterial small subunit ribosomal RNA", at positions 28 to 523 of the family's 1533-position model. The record is from RNAcentral.